GCACAAGCGGUGGAGCAUGUGGUUUAAUUCGACGCAACGCGAAGAACCUUACCAGGGCUUGACAUCCCCUGACCGCGUAUGAAAGUACGUUUUCACCCUCGGGUGACAGGGAGACAGGUGGUGCAUGGUUGUCGUCAGCUCGUGUCGUGAGAUGUUGGGUUAAGUCCCGCAACGAGCGCAACCCCUACGUUUAGUUGCUAACGCGUGAAGGCGAGCACUCUAGACGAACUGCCGUUGACAAAACGGAGGAAGGUGGGGAUGACGUCAAAUCAUCAUGCCCCUUAUGUUCUGGGCUACACACGUGCUACAAUGGCCGGUACAGACGGACGCAAAGCCGCGAGGUGGAGCAAAUCCUAAAAAGCCGAUCUCAGUUCGGAUUGCAGGCUGCAAUUCGCCUGCAUGAAGUCGGAAUCGCUAGUAAUCGCAGGUCAGCAUACUGCGGUGAAUACGUUCCCGGGCCUU
This 462-nucleotide ribosomal RNA is filed under the name uncultured Pelotomaculum sp. RNAcentral describes it as "bacterial SSU rRNA". It matches the Rfam family "Bacterial small subunit ribosomal RNA", at positions 923 to 1382 of the family's 1533-position model. The record is from RNAcentral. Lineage: Bacteria; Bacillati; Bacillota; Clostridia; Eubacteriales; Desulfotomaculaceae.